CAAGGGCGUAGGAACCGGGGGGGACGGGUGGGACGUGUCCCCUCCAAUAUUGGACAAACGCGCAUUUGUCCCCCCCAAUAACAUGGAGAAGAAAAAGAUUGAUUUUGAAAUAUUUGACUCGCGAGCUUUUAUUUUGAAAGACACCGCGGACUUCUCUCCGACACAGCCCCUCCCCUCAGGGAGCAGGCUGGCUGAGUGAAGCAGGAGUCAGAGCCGGGGCAGACGCAGGUGUCGGAAAGACGGCAGCAGCUCAGUGAGUUCCUCUCAUGGGCAAAAGAAGAAAGAAAGGAAUUAGACCAGAGGAAGUUCAGCAGGAAUAUGAUGAAGAAGGUGAGACAGGCAGCGCCCGACCUGCUGAGGGUGAGACAGGGAGCACCAGACCUGCUGAGGGUGAGACAGGGAGCACCAGACCUGCUUUGGACCUGUUGAGGUGCAGGUAGGUGCUACAAUGAAGAGAGAUUUUAGAUGGUUGAUGAUGAGAGGAAGAUUCGAGCAUAGCAAGUGAACACGACUAAAUAAUACUAUAACAACCAUGAUUUUAAUGUUGCACUAGUCGUCCAAUAGUAUUUUUACUUCUUAUUCAUGACCACUGUUUCUAUUUUAGAGAUCAGAUGAAGUUCAGCAGGAACCAGUUGAGGGUGAGACAGGGAGAGCCAGACCUGCUGAGGGUGAGACAGUGAGAGCCAGACCUGCUGAGGGUGAGACAGUGAGAGCCAGACCUGCUGAGG
Molecule: long non-coding RNA, 728 nt
Filed under: Nothobranchius furzeri (turquoise killifish)
Lineage: Eukaryota; Metazoa; Chordata; Actinopteri; Cyprinodontiformes; Nothobranchiidae
Description: lncRNA (ENSNFUG00015017860.1)
Source: RNAcentral